RNAcentral lists this ribosomal RNA (505 nucleotides) under uncultured bacterium. Its description in RNAcentral is "partial 16S ribosomal RNA". It matches the Rfam family "Bacterial small subunit ribosomal RNA", at positions 28 to 507 of the family's 1533-position model. The record is from RNAcentral.
GACGAACGCUGGCGGCGUGCCUAAUACAUGCAAGUAGAACGCACAGUUUAUACCGUUGCUUGCUUCACGAUAGACGGUGAGUUGCGAACGGGUGAUUGACACGCAGGUAACCUGCCUGGUAGCGGUUGGGAACUAUUGGGAACGUUAGCUAAUACCGCAUAAUAUUGAUUAUUGCAUGGUAAUUAAUUGAAAGGUUCAAUUUCACCACUACCACAUGGACCUGCUUUGUAAUAGCUAGUAGGAGAGGUUACGGGCCAACCAGGCGAAGAUACAUAUCCGAACCGGGAGGGGGAACGGCCAAACCGGGAAUGAGACAACGCCCAGACUCCUUAGGGAGGCAGCAGUAGGGAAUCUUCCGCAAUGGGCGGAAGUCUGAACGGGGAACGCCGCGUGAGUGAAGAAGGUUUUCGGAUCGUAAAAACCUGUUGUAAGAGAAGAAAGAGUGUGGGAAUGAACAGUUCACACUGUGACGGUAUCUUACCAGAAAGGCACGGCUAACUACGUG